RNAcentral lists this ribosomal RNA (424 nucleotides) under uncultured Lactobacillus sp. RNAcentral's name for it is "bacterial SSU rRNA". It matches the Rfam family "Bacterial small subunit ribosomal RNA", at positions 338 to 779 of the family's 1533-position model. Lineage: Bacteria; Bacillati; Bacillota; Bacilli; Lactobacillales; Lactobacillaceae. The record is from RNAcentral.
CCUACGGGAGGCAGCAGUGGGGAAUAUUGCACAAUGGGGGAAACCCUGAUGCAGCGACGCCGCGUGAAGGAAGAAGUAUUUCGGUAUGUAAACUUCUAUCAGCAGGGAAGAAAAUGACGGUACCUGACUAAGAAGCCCCGGCUAACUACGUGCCAGCAGCCGCGGUAAUACGUAGGGGGCAAGCGUUAUCCGGAUUUACUGGGUGUAAAGGGAGCGUAGACGGAAGUGCAAGUCUGAAGUGAAAGCCCGGGGCUCAACCCCGUGACUGCUUUGGAAACUGUGCUUCUAGAGUGUCGGAGAGGUAAGCGGAAUUCCUAGUGUAGCGGUGAAAUGCGUAGAUAUUAGGAGGAACAUCAGUGGCGAAGGCGGCUUACUGGACGAUAACUGACGUUGAGGCUCGAAAGCGUGGGGAGCAAACAGGAUU